UACAGAGGUCUCGAGCGUUAGGCGGAAUCACUGGGCUUAAAGCGUGUGUAGGCGGCUCGGUAAGUACCUUGUGAAAUCCCACAGCUUAACUGUGGAACUGCUUGGUAUACUGCCGGUCUUGAGCCAGCUAGGGGCUACCGGAACAAAUGGUGGAGCGGUGAAAUGCGUAGAUAUCAUGUGGAACGCCAAUGGUGAAAACAGGUAGCUGGGGCUGUGCUGACGCUGAGACACGAAAGCCAGGGGAGCAAACGGG
This 253-nucleotide ribosomal RNA is filed under the name uncultured bacterium. RNAcentral's name for it is "partial 16S ribosomal RNA". It matches the Rfam family "Bacterial small subunit ribosomal RNA", at positions 524 to 776 of the family's 1533-position model. The record is from RNAcentral.